This 232-nucleotide unclassified non-coding RNA is filed under the name Hevea brasiliensis (rubber tree). The record is from RNAcentral. Lineage: Eukaryota; Viridiplantae; Streptophyta; Magnoliopsida; Malpighiales; Euphorbiaceae.
UGGUGCUGAUACAUACUUUCUCAACUACAGCAUUGAUUUUCAAAAAAAUCAGUAUUAGUGGCCUCCUCAUAGCAACUCUAUGGCAGCUUUUCUGAACGUCGCAGCAAAUUAAAAAUGGUGAGAAAAUCACUCUUCUGAUCCUUUGAGCUCAACCAUAAUAUUCAUGUAUCCUCUACAACAGUACUCAAACUUCAGAAAUCUUAAUUUUAUUUUCUUCAAUCACAGAGACAGG